RNAcentral lists this long non-coding RNA (448 nucleotides) under Durio zibethinus. Its description in RNAcentral is "long non-coding RNA (DZIB_LNC002247)". The record is from RNAcentral. Lineage: Eukaryota; Viridiplantae; Streptophyta; Magnoliopsida; Malvales; Malvaceae.
GCACGAAAAAAAAACCUGAGCGCUACAGGGUUUUGAGGAGGCUCCCACAAAAUAAUUUUCUUGAAAGGAAAGAACAGAGGUAAAAAGUCUAGGAUGAAAAGUAAAGCUGCUAAAUCCAAAACUGACUGUAGCAAUUUCGUAAAUGAAUCCCUUUCUGAUGGGGAUUUUUAGAACCGAUUGAGUGUUAUUCGUAAAGAAGCUCGAGUGACCUGGAAGGUAGGGAAAAAGUUGGGUUAAAGGCUAAUUGCGACAACGAGACUGUAACUGAGAGGUUAAUUGAAUUGGAGGCUAGGGAUUUAAGGUGAUCCUAAUUAGCUCAGUUUCGUUUCUCCACUCUAUUGUAUUUCUGUGGAAUUUGGGUUGUUGUUAUCUAGUAUUUUGAAUAUGAGGAUUUUAUCCGGGAUUAGAGAUUUGGGUAGUCGUGAAAGUUAAGUUGUGAAGACUUUGC